UUGAUUAUGAAAUAAUAGAUGAAUUCUAUAUAUAUAUAUAUAUAUAUAUAUAUAUAUAUAUAUAUAUAUAUAUAUAUAUUAAAAACUUUCAGUUAAAUAUAUCAGGGUACAUGUAUAAUGCUCAAAUAGCAAUUGCAGGCUAAUAACAUAGAUAUAUGUAUAUCAAUAGUUCAAAAGAAUUAGAGUAACAUAUAUCUUAUACAGAAAAAUAUCGAACCGAAUUUACAGAGGGAGAUUCAGAAAGAUCUUAUCAAUACUGCUUAAACAGUAUUAUUGAUAUAAUGCCUUAAAUCAAGCCAACAACUAGAGACUUCAAUUAAGCGACCUUCCAUCUCAAAAACAAAUAGAUCAAUGAAUGGCGUAUUGCCUAAAUUUAUCAUAGUUUAAAGACAAGAUACCAAAAAUAAGCUAUUUGUGUAGAUCGUUUCCGAUCUAUGUAGAUUCGAAGAACCGGUGUACCCUAAGGAGGUAUAUUCCGUAAGAGACACAAAACCCAUGGACCUUGAAUGCUCCGAUACUAGUUUUGUUGGGUAUUUGCGGUUGAUUUGUGUAUUGAAUCAAAGCACAAAACAUCACACACAAUAAAAACAAAAAGACAAACACAAGAUCACCAAGAAAUGUAGACCCAAUUCAACCAAUAGACCUAAUCUCAGGGGCUCAGGGAUAACCUAUUCCACUAGUGCAUAAUCUACCUUCCAAGAAAGCAAGAUUACAUAAAGAACCACUCGGACAAGGUUUUAGUCAUAGAUCAAACAGAUCCUGUAAAACUAGUAAACUGACCCAAAAUAAACCAACCAAAAAUAUAUGGAGUUAGUCUAUACAAGAACAACCACUCUCUCAGGCCUGAUCGUAUAUACAUGCUACAAGCUCCAUUUGGAUCAAUUGCAAAAACCUCAAAUACUAGAGAAGAAUUUUUUAGCGUAAAGACAAAAGAGAAAACCAAGGGAAGAGAGAAAAUCGAAACAUCUGGAAUGACCCAAAGUCUCUUGACCUAGACCACUAAAGAGACACUUUGGAUUCCAAGGUAAAAU
Molecule: long non-coding RNA, 1031 nt
Filed under: Olea europaea subsp. europaea
Lineage: Eukaryota; Viridiplantae; Streptophyta; Magnoliopsida; Lamiales; Oleaceae
Source: RNAcentral